RNAcentral lists this transfer-messenger RNA (339 nucleotides) under Bacillota bacterium. RNAcentral's name for it is "partial transfer-messenger RNA". It matches the Rfam family "transfer-messenger RNA". From Rfam's summary of the family: Bacterial tmRNA, also known as 10Sa RNA or SsrA, is named for its dual tRNA and mRNA-like properties. Its role is to liberate the mRNA from a stalled ribosome. The record is from RNAcentral. Lineage: Bacteria; Bacillati; Bacillota.
GGGGGCGACUGGUUUCGACGGGGAGUAUGAUGACAGUAGUAGCGGGUCGAGGUGCUGUGGCCUCGUUAAACUGCAGCAAGCACAUUAAGUGCCGAUAAUAAUUUAGCAUUAGCUGCUUAAUUUAAAGUAGCCGUCCAAUCCGUAUUUAACCUGGGAGUCCGGUGCGGGCGUCACUUAAACCAGGGUGCUCACUGGUCAAUUCUCGGAGACCGGUGCUAAGAUCAUCGAGAUAGCCGAAGCUUAGUUCGUCCGUAGACGGAGCCAAGGCGAAAUUUAAAAUGCGGUCUGCACCCGGAGAGACUCCUGUGGUCAUCUUUUCGGACGGGGGUUCGAUUCCCC